RNAcentral lists this long non-coding RNA (1225 nucleotides) under Triticum aestivum (bread wheat). RNAcentral describes it as "long non-coding RNA (TAES_LNC014693)". The record is from RNAcentral. Lineage: Eukaryota; Viridiplantae; Streptophyta; Magnoliopsida; Poales; Poaceae.
GGGGAAAUGGCGGCGGCGGCGCACGAGUGAUAUAGAGGGGAGGAGGUCAGCUGUGGCGUUGCAGCUUCGGUGGCUCGCCGGCCGGACGAGGACGUGCGGGGGCUCCUGGACGGCGGCAGGAUCGGGCACCUCUGGGAGUUGGCUGUUUGUUUGUUAGAAGGAGUUUUUUGCAAAAAAAAAGUCUAACGUUAGUCCGAACCGUUAUGCCACGUCAGCUUUUGUGGGCGCCACAUGUCAUAAUUGUCAUCAAAUGAACCAAAUCCGUCAAUUAGUGUUUUUUGCAAAAAAUUAGCCUCGAAAUUAGUGGUUUUUGGCACAAAACUGUAGAAGUGUGGUUUCUGCAACCCUAGCCUUCAAUGUCGAUGUUUUUUGCAAUUCACUCCCCCGUGUAGCAUACACUUGCAAUCUUGAAAUAGGACCAUGUUUUCGAACAAAUCGAAAGAGAUCGAAACUGUUGUACCAAAAGACAAUCAACUACCUCCUUAAUUAAAGUACGAACUACCAAUAUCCAAAGAUAACCUUCAUGGCUUAUACGUUAUUCAGGUAAGUAGUGGUCAGAGAGACCUUAUUCUAAUGCGUCAUUGUUUACCACCACCUCAUCGAUGCCGCUAGUAAAUCAAAACCUAAGGAAAACAAUGACCUACUAGAACUAAGACAAAUGAAAGGGGCAUGUCCCCACUAGACUAGCAACCAAUAAGGACGCCAGAUGAGAGAAGGAGGGGCAUCGAGGCACGACGAUGAGAAAACCUUAGUGGCAGCUAGGGUAGGGGCUGACUACGUGUUUCUAGGGGAGAACGAGGACAAUGUGUGAGUCAUGACUUUUUAACAGUGAACCAAACAUAUGAUUAAGAAACCAUCCUAAAUUUCGUAGGGUCCCUAUGGAUGAGCAUCUUGCUGCAAAUGCAUUUUCUUAUGAUUAAGGAUAUGUUUAUCACAUAUUAUGUUGGUAAUUCGUCAUGUGUAACUAAUGUUGGCUACUUCUAAAAGUUUGGCACAUUGAUGCGAGGGUGGUACUUUUAGAUCUAUUUGGGUUCAGAUUUGCCCGAACAAAGAGUCAUAUUAGGUUACAAGUACCAAAUAGUUAGUGUGUUCUUGUAGAAUCGUGUUGCGAGGAGGGGGGUUGUUAUGUGACAUGUGUUUUCUAAAUAGUGUUAGAGUUAUGUUGAUGAUGCCCUUUGACAUUUCACAUUCUAGUCUUGUGGCAUCCCACUUGUACAUAAAUAAA